This 164-nucleotide ribosomal RNA is filed under the name Patescibacteria group bacterium. Its description in RNAcentral is "partial 16S ribosomal RNA". It matches the Rfam family "Bacterial small subunit ribosomal RNA", at positions 1369 to 1533 of the family's 1533-position model. The record is from RNAcentral.
CGUUCCCGGACCUUGUACACACCGCCCGUCAAGCCAUGGAAGCUGGGUGUACCUAAAGUCGGUAACCGCAAGGAGCCGCCUAGGGUAAAACUAGUAACUGGGGCUAAGUCGUAACAAGGUAGCCGUACCGGAAGGUGCGGCUGGAAUACCUCCUUUUUAGAGCU